Long non-coding RNA from Cimex lectularius (bed bug), 1066 nucleotides. RefSeq lists it as uncharacterized. NCBI's taxonomy places the organism in Eukaryota, Metazoa, Arthropoda, Insecta, Hemiptera, Cimicidae. The record is from RefSeq and is a predicted model, not a curated record. The transcript has 2 exons.
UUGCUUUAUUGUGCUUUUAUCAAAAACAAAAACCAACAAUACAAUUGGAACUCGUACUAUUUAAUAUAUUACUUUAUAACCUUGUUUUAACAGUAGAAUGAAUUCUUUUGUCUUCCAGAUGCAUUUUUAGAUCAGUCCGACUUGAAAUAUGAAUGAAGUUGUGUUCAUAAUUGAAGCUUUGCUCAUAAUAGCGCUAUUGAUAGGGAUAGCUUUUCUAUUCAUGAAAAAUGCCUAGGCCACUGGUCGUCAUUCUGUUGCUUCCACUUUUGACUUUUCUGGACGGAAACACGAAUGGGAGAGAGAGAAAACACACAGCCAUUUUGAGGUUAUUUUCACAUGAAAUAUCCUUCGAGAAAAUAACGAAAACCGUGAUGAAUCAAGAUGCCGUUGAUCUUUUCCUCUGCUAUUAACAAUCGGUCAUUACAGUGCCGUCACUUAUCUGACAAUCCCCGUUGGUGUCCAUUGUGAAGAAUGACAGAUCUCAGGUGGUUCAGGAUUGCGUGAAAGAAUCUUUUAUUCAAACCUUCAAAAAAACACGGCCAAAUGGAGAAGAAUUUAACCAUAGUUCGGCAACGGACAAAGUUACAAAACAAAGGAAUACAACUGGUUUAAUCAUUAACGAACAAAAUCAGCUGGUGAUUAUGUGUUUAAAUAUAGUUGCUCAAUAAAUUAUUUUUUGUUAAAAAACUAAAAUUUUAAACGUCCGUACUCACCUCCAUGGGGGUCUCGCAGACCCCCCCCCCCCGGAUAGUACCAGUAUAGUAGAUAGUAUCCUAGGAUAGUACCAGGAAGAUUAGACAUCUUGGCAAGGCACGUACUUGUUAUAUCCCUUGGCAAGCGAUAUAAGUCUAUUACCUUCUCGUAGUACACCGGCAAUUCCAGCUGUUGGAGGGAACAGCCAGCAUUCUCGAGUAUCACCCUCGGCAGUCUGGGGACAGACCUCAGUCUUAUCCGUCUAGCCACCGAUGUUGGGCUCAGGGAAGUGCUAGGUUCAAUUCAGCACCCAACGUAUGCAGUUCCAAACCUAUUCGCACUCUUCAUUCUUAAAUACAUUCACUCCUAUUUA